UACGUAGGUGGCAAGCGUUGUCCGGAUUUACUGGGCGUAAAGAGCGCGCAGGCGGCCGAGUAAGUCGAAUGUGAAAGCCCCCGGCUCAACUGGGGAACGUCAUUCGAUACUGUUCGGCUCGAAGAUAGGAGAGGGAAGCGGAAUUUCAGGUGUAGUGGUGAAAUGCGCAGAUAUCAGGAGGAACACCGGUGGCGAAGGCGGGUCUCUGGGCAGUAACUGACGCUGAGGAGCGAAAGCGUGGGGAGCGAACAGG
Molecule: ribosomal RNA, 253 nt
Filed under: uncultured bacterium
Lineage: Bacteria
Description: partial 16S ribosomal RNA
Rfam family: Bacterial small subunit ribosomal RNA
Source: RNAcentral